AAAAUAAUAUGAAACAAGUCUGACAAACAUGGCAAAUAUGACAAAUAGGAAUGAUAUGAAAUCAAGAAGAAAGAUACAACGCACAGCAGAAGCAGAGUAGUAUCCUUACCCAACUAGUGUCAUAAAGGUAUGGUAUAAGACAAGAGUCACUACCUCCUAACCUACAACCCUAAUACUCGACCUCCACACGUUCCUAUCAAUCCCCACAGGAACCAAGUUGAAAUAGAAGAAAAAUAACAGAUAAACGAAAAUAUGCAUCAAAACCA
This 266-nucleotide long non-coding RNA is filed under the name Nicotiana benthamiana. Its description in RNAcentral is "long non-coding RNA (NBEN_LNC007268)". The record is from RNAcentral. Lineage: Eukaryota; Viridiplantae; Streptophyta; Magnoliopsida; Solanales; Solanaceae.